UUGGUGUGGUUGUUGCUGGCUCCUCGGGGGCAUGUGCACACCUGCCAUCCUCAUCUUUCCACCUGUGCACGUUUUGUAGAUUUGGAUUGACUUUCUGAGGUAACUCCGUCGGGAGGAUUGCUAGUGUCCUGGCUUUCCUUGAUUUCCAAGUCUAUGUUUUUCAUAUACCCCAUUGCAUGUAACAGAAUGUAUCAUUAGGUCUUUGUGCCUAUAAAAUCUAUACAACUUUCAGCAACGGAUCUCUUGGCUCUCGCAUCGAUGAAGAACGCAGCGAAAUGCGAUAAGUAAUGUGAAUUGCAGAAUUCAGUGAAUCAUCGAAUCUUUGAACGCACCUUGCGCUCCUUGGUAUUCCGAGGAGCAUGCCUGUUUGAGUGUCAUUAAAUUCUCAACCCUUAUUAGCUUUAUGUCAAUAAUGGGCUUGGAUGUGGGGGUAUCUUUUUGCUGGCUUCUUYCUAGAUGGUCYGCUCCCCUAAAAUGCAUUAGCUGGUGCCCCACGUGGACUUGUCUCUUGGUGUGAUAAUUAUCUACGCUAUGGAUGUCUACACUUAUAUGGGUUUGCAUUGCUUCUAACUGUCUGUUCAUUCAGACAAUACAUGACCAGUGACCUCAAAUCAUGUA
This is a ribosomal RNA of 618 nucleotides. The stretch from base 224 to 377 matches the Rfam family "5.8S ribosomal RNA".